AUUGAACGCUGGCGGCAGGCCUAACACAUGCAAGUCGAGCGAGCGGCGGACGGGUGAGUAAUGUCUGGGAAACUGCCUGAUGGAGGGGGAUAACUACUGGAAACGGUAGCUAAUACCGCAUACCAUCAGAUGUGCCCAGGUGGGAUUAGCUAGGAGGUGGGGUAACGGCUCACCUAGGCGACAAUCCCUAGCUGGUCGGAGAGGAUAACCAGCCAGACUGGAACUGAGACACGGUCCAGACUCCUACGGGAGGCAGCAGUGGGGAAUAUUGUGCAAGGGGCGCAAGGCUGAUGCAGCCAAGCCGAGUGUGGGAAGAAGGCCUUCGGGUUGUAAAGCACUUUCAGCGGGGAAGCGUUACCCGCAGAAGAAGCACCGGCGAACUCCGGGCCAGCAGCCGCGGUAAUAC
Molecule: ribosomal RNA, 406 nt
Filed under: uncultured bacterium
Lineage: Bacteria
Description: partial 16S ribosomal RNA
Rfam family: Bacterial small subunit ribosomal RNA
Source: RNAcentral